Molecule: ribosomal RNA, 545 nt
Filed under: uncultured Actinomycetes bacterium
Lineage: Bacteria; Bacillati; Actinomycetota; Actinomycetes
Description: bacterial SSU rRNA
Rfam family: Bacterial small subunit ribosomal RNA
Source: RNAcentral
UCCUACGGGAGGCAGCAGUAGGGAAUCUUCCACAAUGGACGAAAGUCUGAUGGAGCAACGCCGCGUGAACGAUGAAGGCCUUCGGGUCGUAAAGUUCUGUUGUAAGGGAAGAACAAGUGCCGCAGGCAAUGGCGGCACCUUGACGGUACCUUGCGAGAAAGCCACGGCUAACUACGUGCCAGCAGCCGCGGUAAUACGUAGGUGGCAAGCGUUGUCCGGAAUUAUUGGGCGUAAAGCGCGCGCAGGCGGCCUCUUAAGUCUGAUGUGAAAGCCCCCGGCUCAACCGGGGAGGGCCAUUGGAAACUGGGAGGCUUGAGUAUAGGAGAGAAGAGUGGAAUUCCACGUGUAGCGGUGAAAUGCGUAGAGAUGUGGAGGAACACCAGUGGCGAAGGCGACUCUUUGGCCUAUAACUGACGCUGAGGCGCGAAAGCGUGGGGAGCAAACAGGAUUAGAUACCCUGGUAGUCCACGCCGUAAACGAUGAGUGCUAGGUGUUGGAGGGUUUCCGCCCUUCAGUGCUGAAGCUAACGCAUUAAGCACUCCGCC